GAAUGGCUCUCUACUGUUGGUCUAGGAGGAGCUCGGAUGUCUCCAAAGCUGCUGACGAGUCUACUGUUAUCGGGUACCUUAGGCACUGAUACUACAGGUGGGAGUCACCUACUGUAGAAGCUCGGAUAGAGACUUUUCGUUGGCGAAGCCCGGUAGGAAUCCGAUUGCUAGAGAAGUCCGUCUGGGAUUCGCUUGAUGUGGAAACUCGUCUGAAGAUGAUCCAUUGGGAAAGUUCGGUUUUAUGAA
Molecule: long non-coding RNA, 246 nt
Filed under: Elaeis guineensis (African oil palm)
Lineage: Eukaryota; Viridiplantae; Streptophyta; Magnoliopsida; Arecales; Arecaceae
Description: long non-coding RNA (EGUI_LNC066241)
Source: RNAcentral